UUCAGAGUCCAAUUCGCAUGAAUCAAGCCUGAUUCGCCCACAUGUGAACACGUCCUAAAAGGCAAUCAAUCCAGCUUCAAUCAAAAUUUGGAACGCUCACGAACUUGUCACGCCCUCAGUUCUGCACUUCAGCCGUUUCCUCCGUUUACUCACGGUGCGCUAUUACUUUGCCAUUUCGAGUGGCUCCGGUCUGCGGCCCCCAUCCCACUUUAAUCAGCUGGGAUCGAUCCGUCCCCCAACGCCGGCUUCCGAACCCCUGGGGCCACCGGCAGCAUCUGAAUCAACAUCACACAUACUGAAGGCUGCAAAGAUUAGGGAUUGGGGUCGGGUACCGGUCGGGCCGAAUUUAGGAUGCGGUGAGAAGGGCCAGGAUUAGGAUACAAAGUUGAUGCCAGGUUUAGAAUGAGGACCCCGAGUGUAGGAUUAGGAUUAGGAUUGGGAUUGCCCGGGUCCCACUGGCCAGGAUUAGGAUUGGGAUACUGCAGCGGGAUGUGGAUUACAACCAACAGCCCCUAGGAUAUGGUUAAGACCACCAUCCUGGUAUUAGGAGUGGUCCAACCGGCUUCGGCUGGUCCGCAAGUUUUAAGCCUUGGGUCCGGAGCGGCGGUAAGAUGCUUGCAUUUAUGACAGGGAAAAUUAUUGGCUACUCUUGCGUCUUACUGCGGUCUCCAAUGCGCGUGGGCGAUUUACGCCCUGUUCAUCUGCCUACUUGCAUCGCGGCUGAUCUCCUUCUCCUUAGGUUUAGAUUAAUUAGAUGUAAACCACUGAUUCCCGGUUGUCCUGAAUGUGCGAUCAUUCUGAUGCGUUUCCGUACCGCUGUCGUGCCCAGGUCGAUGGCUUUACCUUUCUUGGCACUGACGCGACUAGCUCCGCGCAGCCUUCCUUUGUUCCUGGAUGGGGCUUACGUGGCGUG
RNAcentral lists this long non-coding RNA (913 nucleotides) under Volvox carteri. RNAcentral describes it as "long non-coding RNA (VCAR_LNC002027)". Lineage: Eukaryota; Viridiplantae; Chlorophyta; Chlorophyceae; Chlamydomonadales; Volvocaceae. The record is from RNAcentral.